Molecule: ribosomal RNA, 496 nt
Filed under: Veillonella parvula
Lineage: Bacteria; Bacillati; Bacillota; Negativicutes; Veillonellales; Veillonellaceae
Description: bacterial SSU rRNA
Rfam family: Bacterial small subunit ribosomal RNA
Source: RNAcentral
GACGAACGCUGGCGGCGUGCUUAACACAUGCAAGUCGAACGAAGACGAUGAAGCUUGCUUCUAUCAAUCUUAGUGGCGAACGGGUGAGUAACGCGUAAUCAACCUGCCCUUCAGAGGGGGACAACAGUUGGAAACGACUGCUAAUACCGCAUACGAUCUAAUCUCGGCAUCGAGGAUAGAUGAAAGGUGGCCUCUACAUGUAAGCUAUCACUGAAGGAGGGGAUUGCGUCUGAUUAGCUAGUUGGAGGGGUAACGGCCCACCGAGGCGAUGAUCAGUAGCCGGUCUGAGAGGAUGAACGGCCACAUUGGGACUGAGACACGGCCCAGACUCCUACGGGAGGCAGCAGUGGGGAAUCUUCCGCAAUGGACGAAAGUCUGACGGAGCAACGCCGCGUGAGUGAUGACGGCCUUCGGGUUGUAAAGCUCUGUUAAUCGGGACGAAAGGCCUUCUUGCGAAUAGUGAGAAGGAUUGACGGUACCGGAAUAGAAAGCCCGG